RNAcentral lists this ribosomal RNA (245 nucleotides) under uncultured bacterium. RNAcentral describes it as "partial 16S ribosomal RNA". It matches the Rfam family "Bacterial small subunit ribosomal RNA", at positions 524 to 768 of the family's 1533-position model. The record is from RNAcentral.
UACAGAGGGUGCAAGCGUUAAUCGGAAUUACUGGGCGUAAAGCGCACGUAGGUGGUUAUAUAAGUCAGAUGUGAAAUCCCCGGGCUUAACCUGGGAACUGCAUUUGAAACUGUAUGACUAGAGUAGGAUAGAGGAAAGGGGAAUUUCCGGUGUAGCGGUGAAAUGCGUAGAGAUCGGAAGGAACACCAGUGGCGAAGGCGCCUUUCUGGAUUCAUACUGACACUGAGGUGCGAAAGCGUGGGGAG